RNAcentral lists this transfer RNA (55 nucleotides) under Cassida denticollis. RNAcentral describes it as "tRNA-Glu". Lineage: Eukaryota; Metazoa; Arthropoda; Insecta; Coleoptera; Chrysomelidae. The record is from RNAcentral.
GGUACAAAAAAUAAAUUUUUCUUAUUUAAAUUUAGAUCUUUCCUUUACAGUACUA